RNAcentral lists this long non-coding RNA (413 nucleotides) under Apteryx owenii (little spotted kiwi). RNAcentral's name for it is "lncRNA (ENSAOWG00000001698.1)". Lineage: Eukaryota; Metazoa; Chordata; Aves; Apterygiformes; Apterygidae. The record is from RNAcentral.
GACAGUACAUUUCUGACUUUUCACUCCAUGUGCAGGAAUACUGAGAGUGCACAGGCUUCUACGGUCACAGAAGUUUGUUUCUGUUCCCUUACAUCUUGUCUGAAUACUACCAUCUGAGCUCCUUGAAAGGCAGGGAUAUUACUUUAAAGGGCAGUGCCAUCAUGACCUUCGAGCAAAGUCAUAACAUAAAAAUGCAAGCAUGAUGACUCGUGAAUUAGUUUCACGAUGGCAAAGGUGUCUCAUUUUGUAGUCGAAUCUCAUUCCCUGGAUGAACGAGACUGUCUGAAUCAGUGGAUGAGAUCUGAAAGCAGGUUGGUGAAAGUGACUCAUAUAGCCAAUUGACGGGCGAGUGAAGAGUUAACAGGACUGAAGUUUGUCAAUUGAUAUGCAGAAGAACUGAUAGCACAAGAGCU